This 253-nucleotide ribosomal RNA is filed under the name uncultured bacterium. RNAcentral's name for it is "partial 16S ribosomal RNA". It matches the Rfam family "Bacterial small subunit ribosomal RNA", at positions 524 to 776 of the family's 1533-position model. The record is from RNAcentral.
UACGUAGGGGGCAAGCGUUGUCCGGAAUCAUUGGGCGUAAAGAGCGCGUAGGCGGUCCGGUAAGUCGGUUGUGAAAACUGGGGGCUCAACCCUCAGAGGCCGACCGAUACUGUCGGGCUAGAGUCCGGAAGAGGCGAGUGGAAUUCCUGGUGUAGCGGUGAAAUGCGUAGAUAUUGGGAGGAACACCAGUGGCGAAGGCGGCUACCUGGACCGGUUCUGACGCUGAUGCGCGAAAGCGUGGGUAGCAAACAGG